AUGUGGAAGGCAGCCUGGAGCCUUCACCAAGGAUGAUAAGCCUGCGUGAAUUUUACGAGUCUCAGUAUCAAGGUUGCCCUCGCCCAAGGGAUUUACGAAGAAGGGGGAAAAAGAAGAGAAGGCAGAUGUAUGAAUAACCGGCAUUGUAAAUCUUCACCGUGGCAACCCAGAGCUAGGAAAAGUCUGUGAUGGGUUCACGACUUGAGAAGAAAGCGACGCAGCAGAGUGGGAAUGGAUUUUCUUCAGAUUCUUAAUGCACUGCUUAGAGCCGCUUAGGGGGGUGGGGUGGGUGCACACCAGUGUGUGCCUGGGGAAGUGUGUGUGUGUGUGUGUGUGUGUGUGUGUGUGUGCACGUGUGUGAAAGGGAGGGCGCGUGUGUAAGGGGAGGGACUCUUUGGAAAAUUGUUAGAGGGAAUUACUGGUGUUAUACAGCUUGCCAGCUUUAGGGGCAAAAAAGAAGGCCAUUUAGCCUCUGAAUAUAAAUGACUGGAUUUUGCUUGGGGUAGAAAAAAAAAAAGAUGUGGGGGAGGGGCGUGGGAUUAUGCAAGCCAGUAACAAUGAGCACGUUGGACCUUGGGCUCUGCAGCACAAGGUCACCGCGAAAGUCAGUGUGUUAGCUGGUGGAGGUGGCAGAGAGAAGAAAAUGACUCGCAGUAGAUUGCUUCCUGCUUUGCAAAACGUAGCAGUUACUGAAAAUAAGACGCAUUGGAGUGGUCUAUAGGAAUACCUGAUUUCCUUCUCUCUCUCUCUCUCUCUCUCUCUCUCUCUCUCUCUCUCUCUCGCACACACACACACACACACACACACACACACACACACACACACACACACACAUGCAUGCACGCACGCAUACGCAGGGCCUGCUGAUGUAUGAAAGUGAAGCCUUGGCUCUAAUUGUGCAAUUAUAAAACGGAAAUGAUGCGGGUUUGGUAACACAGGGAAAGAAGGCAGCUCAAUAACAUUGUUUAAUGACAAGCAAAUAAAGCUCAGAGGGGAAAGAGGUGACUCUUUCUGCUUUAGACUCAUUAAGGAGCCUGAAACAUAUUGUAAAAGAGUGAUAUUUAAUUAUGGGCUGGACUGAUAACAGAGAGCAGGGCCUCACUGGGAGAAAGAGACCCUGUGCUCCUAGGAGCUCACAGCUCCAAACAUCAAUUACCAUGAUUAUCUACCCAGCACUUGCAAAAUGCACCGGCUUCAUGUUCCAUCAGCGACCCGUAAACAGGCAUUGCAUAGGCAAAUUUAUGGGCACAAGCAGCCAGGGCCAGGUGGGAAAGCCAGCCUCCCAUUGGUGCUCCCCAGCAAAGGAGGAAAGGAGCAGAGGAAAGAAAAAUCCGCCUUGCGCUCUGUGGAAAGAACAAUUUAUUACUGAGUAUUUGCAGAAGACAGCACUUGCUGCCCGCUGCUAUUUUUUUUUCUUCUCUCUCUCUCCUUUUGCCUCUGCUGCCUGUCUGAAUGAGGAAUGGAAGUGUGUUUACCAACCCCUGCUUACAGGGGAUCACUUGGCACAGUCUCUGGAAACCUUGUGGUGCUCUGGAGGCCAUGAGUUCCGGAGCUAGGAGGGAGCAGCGCCUCUUUCCCUAGCAACUUCCUUUCAGGAAAGGGCUAGGACACCUUGUCUGGUUGUGAGAAAUUCGAAUUUGCAAGAAGAGUUGUGUAAUUUGCAUGCACUACGAAGUGCUUGUGUCAUGGUGUGUGUUUUUCAGGGUGAUUUGUAAAGUUCCUGGAUUUAAAGAAUGCUUGGAAAGCUUGGCAUAUGAUCCUGUGAUCCGAAUGUUAUGGAGGCUGAUGCAGGAUGAUUGUAAAUUUGAGGGCAGACGGGGCUAAAUAGUGAAUUCAAGGCUAGCUUGUAAGCUAUAAGAGAGACUUUUUCCCCCUCAAAACAAAACCAAUGUAAUAAAAAUAAAUUCUUGGAGAUGGUUGACUGUCAAAUCUCUUCAUAAGAAAGUACUGAAAUAGCCUACAUCUACCUAAACACCAUGAGUUCAACUACAAAUUUAGUUUCCUCAUGAACAAUCAUUCCAACUACAGCCUGAAAUGCUGACAACGUGCUCAGUUCUUCCUUGCUCUCUGUUUACAUUUACAUUCCCAAACAGACAUCGACUCCAUCAAUCUGUACAGCAAACUCAUUUGUGAGGAAGUCCUUGCCUCUAGGCAAGUGGUUGGAGAAACACUGCCUGAACUGAGUCUUGCUCUUUUAUAACUACUUUCUAGAACAAGGUUGCCCAUCAGUAAUUUAUGCUGAACAGUGGACACCUAACCAUGGACAGAGGCACCAUGGGUGAAUACCCCGGGACAGGUGCUGGCUCAGCUUCACCCCCAGCACCCACCUCAGGCGUUAGAAUCACGGUGGCUCGAAAAUGAUUAUUUGACCUGGAAAGUAAAUGCACAUUGUCAGCUGAUUUUCCUGUAAAUCCAACAAUCCAUUGGAAGCAUAGGGUGGUAAACACUUCUGUGGACUUCAGAGAAGAAAGAGAAUGUUAUUUGGAGUAAUGGCUGCCAGAGAAAAAAUACAGGGCAUUGCAAAAAAAUAAAAGUGAAGAUGGAUGAUGGAUUAGUCCGAUAUUCUAUUUUACUACUGGCUUACAGGUCACCUUCUACUGUACUGGUGCAUUUCUUUGGCCACUUGUCAAAGCCAUGUUGUGAUGGAGGCUGGCUUGUCUCGCGCUUUGCCUGCACGGAGGGCGGGCGUCCGGCUGGAGCUGUUGCACACACUCACGCGCGACGCCUCCUUGCCUUGGGAACCGCCUUGGACAGGGAGCGUUUGUUGAUUGGCAAGAUGGCUGGGUGCAAAGGCUUUGCCAACCCAUACCCCUCUUUUCUUUCCAAACUUGGCUCACAAUUUCCUUUUUCCUGGAAGCUUCUAAGCCUGCUCCCUCUCAAUUUUCUCCGUUUGGUCCUUUGUGUGUACAUCUUACACCCGGGCGUUCACACUGCAUGUGUUUCCUGCACUGAAUCCUUUUCCACUUCGGCUUCAGCAACUUGACCAGAACCUAAAUCUCUGCCAUGUGGGAGCUGUGUAUUCAGAUUCUCCUCGUGCCGCAAUAUUUAGAGUGUUGUAAGCAUUUCCUCAGGGUUAUUCACCAAACGUCUGCGGGGGAAUGGUCACCGUGAGGUGGAACUUUGCUUUUAAAAUCUUGGUUAAGCCAUUAAAACUCUCUGUGCUUCGUUUUUUUCAGUAUUAAGAGCAACCACAAAUGAAGCAUUUUCAAGUGUUCUAUGAAAAUUAAUGGAUAAUUAAUGGCGACAGUGCAAGAUAGUGAUUAAGAGGGCUGGCUUUGGAGCCAGGCUGCCUGUUUUGAAUCCUGGAUCGGCUCUGACGAACUGUUCAGUAAUUAUAAUGCUUGAAAUGUGCCGCUCCGUUUGGGGCUUCACAGUUACCAAAUGUGUACUCAGAGCCGGCCACCGUGACAGUCUAGGACUUCAUCACCAGGACACCCGUAGGAGGUAGAUGCGGCUCCCAUUCCCAUUUUGCACAUGGGCCGGGCCAAGUGCUCACGUGGCGCUUGCUGUGGGUAGUCAAUAACGACAAAGCUAAAGCCAUUCGACGAUUUCAAAGUUUCGCUCAACAGCCGGAGUUAGAAGACACGGCUGCGUUGUCUGGUUUCUGCAAUCUCCCUCCACUUGCCCUGCAUCUUCUGCUCCGCGGAGCGACGCAAACCUGGCAGCCAUGGAUUCCGCCAUGAGCACAGUUUACAGUGAGCGCGGAGAUAAACAGAGUGAAGCCUGCCUGGCACCCUCGCCAACCCUGCUUUCCCUGUGCGCCACAUUCCUGUUACAGCGUCGAAGCCAAGGGCCCAUGAAAGGGUUUACCACUGAGAUUGGCUGCCCCUCAAACUGUCAGAACUAUUGCCAAGUGUUGCUGUCAAAUAGUGGCACAUCUUUUCCCUCUCAGAAUUCUGAGAUUCUCUACGGCUUAAAAAAAAAAAGUCCAUUUGUAUGUGUGUGUUAUUCGUUUUCUUUCUGUGUGUUCGCAGGCGGUAGAGGUGACUCAUGUUUUGGUCUAAUUUAUCAGUGCUGAUAUCAGAGACUGAGCUUGUCUGAACACAUUCAGGGGCCUAGACUGUAGCAUGCAGCUACUGCAUCUCACAAACGCCAACACUAUAUUUUUCACAGUGCAGGAUUUUUCAUGCACCUCUUUAGUAAGUAUUAUACUUUUUUUUUGGUUUGAAUUUAAGUAAUGUAUCUUAUGUUCAUUAUUGAAAAUAGUCAUAAGAAUAUCCUUUAUUCUUCCCAGAUCACUUAAUUUAUACUCUAAAAUGUUUAAGAUAUCUAAAAGCAUUAGGGCCUAAAGAAACAAGAUUAUCACUUACUAAUUCUUUAUAAAUAUUUACGAUUGAAAUUCCCAGACAGCUACAGGGGGCCUACAGCACUUAAACUAAAGGUAGUGAACAGAGUAUAGGCACAAUAAUCAAUCCCGAUUAUUUUCUAAAUUAUAAUAAGAAUAUUUUCUGGAAUAAUUAAUUGUAUCCUUCGAUUACCAAAUGCUUAUCAUUUCAUUUGAUUGUGAUAAUAGCUGGACAGAGAUCUAGCAUUCUAUUAUAAAGAUGAUGACAGUGAGGCGGAGAGAAAGGACCUCACCUGGCUGGGCCACAUGUAAGCAUUUGCUUGUGUGUGUAUGUGUGUGUGUGUGUGUGUGUGUGUGUGUGUGUGUGUGUGUGUGUUGUAUGUCCAUAUGUGUGUAUGUAUUUAUACAUAAGUAAGUGUGCAUAUUUGUGUGCAUAUUUGUAUGCAUAUAAGUACGUCCUUUGUAUGUAUGUGUGCGUAAUAUGAGUGUGUGUAUAUACUUGUGUGUGUGCUGUAUGUGAUAUGUUUGUGGGUGUGGGUACAUGUGCAUCUGUGAUCACAAGUGCAGAGGCCAGACAUGUGUACCCUCUUCUAUCACUCUAUGUUGUAGUCCCUUAGGUAGAGGUCACUUGCUGGUUUUGCUAGGCAGGCUAGCCAGCAAAUCCCAGUGAUUGUCUUGUGCCCUCAACUUCCCAGCGCUGGGAUUACGCAUAGGUAUGCAGAGCCGUGCCUAGCUUUUUAUGUGAAUGUUGGGAACCUGAACUUAAGUCUCCAUGCUUAAGUGAGUGGCAAGCAUUCUUGCCAUGGAGGUAUCUCGUUAGCUCUGUUUCCUUAUGCAAUUUUCUCUUGGGGGAUUUGGUUGCAGCACACACAAGGAUCACCAAAUCUGAAGCUGCCCAAGCCCCUGAAGUUUUUACAUCUAUCAGAGCCAGCCCUCCUGAAACCAUCUGCAGAUGGCAGUGCAGGUGCUAUGGUAACAGUACACACACACAAAAAAUGUCAAUUAAAAAAUAACAAAGUAAUAGAUGUCUGUACAUGUUCAGUAUAGACACAGAUUAAGAAGUGCUGUGGUCUGUGCUUUGAAUCUCCUGAUGCGGGGCCUAUGAAGAAGGUGUGUUGCUCAUGUUCAGGAAGAGGCAGAGUUGCUUUCAGACUUGGGUUUUGCCUCUGGUCUGACCUUGCGCCUGCUGUGAUCUCUUGCCAUCUGAGCGUCACAAUGAACCAGAGGAAACUCAUAUUUUGUGUACACAAUAGUGUUUGGUCAGAUUCUACUUUAUAGAUAAAAUAUACACCAUAUACACCGCUUGGUUGAAUUUAAAAUUUUGUGAGUAGUGUACCCAGUAGCAAGUUGUGUGGGCUGUAUUUACACUAACACUCUUCAUUGUUUGUCUGAAAUUUACCUGUACCUGGGUAUGUGUUAUUUGUGUUUGCUAAAUCAGGCAACCCUAAUUUGAAUGUUCUCAGAAAACACAAGCCACCCUAGGUUUGCUCAAAGCCUAACUCAAUGUGUUUAUGUGUUCUGGUGGCUGACGUUAGCCACCUCUUAGCAUUGUUCAGGGUCAUGUCCUUGGGUGGAGAUCACUGGGAUAUAUUGGGAAGCACAGGGCUACAGGUUGAAUCUGAGUUGAAUCUAAGCAGUUUUCUCAGCUCAGCAACAUAUGGCAAGCUCCACACCUCACUUUUAAAUGCUACCCCCAAAUUUCUACAGUUAAAGGUGUGGUCCCCAGUAUGAUGCUAUGAGGAAGUAUUGGACCAUUAAGGAAUAGGGCCUUUUGAGUCAUCUUUUGGUCACUUUGCCUCCACCUCUUUAUCUCUGUAGCUUCCUGACCAUGCAGCAAGCAGGUCUGCCUCAGGAUCUACUUCUGCCGUGGUGUGUCACUGCCUGCCCACAGCAAAAAGGCCUAUGGGUCAUGAAACUGUGAGCCGAAAUGAAGCUUUGGUUCAAGGAUUCAUAAUUGGAACAGAAAGACAACACCUACUAGCCCUCUCAUUGUGAGAGCGGUCCCUUAGGAUCCCGGUUAGAGUGAGAAGAAGCCACAGAACUCUAGUUGUAGCAGAACAAGGGAGAUGAUUCUAGGUCUGUCAUUAAUCCAGACACUGGUAUUUCAUCACCACAGAUACAGAGGUGAUUGUGUGAUGACCUACAUCUUUGUGUUUCAUGACACUCUUGAGGGCUAUGCGACCACAGGCAGUGGAUAGCCUCUGAACUUAGUUGGCACUUGCAACAUUUCUUGCUGAGUAUAUAGAAUGAACACUCUGGAAUUUGAAUUAUGAGUGUUGAAAUUAGAAUUUAAAUGGCAUGCUAAGUUAUAUGAAUUUGAAAAUUUUGCUCACUUAUUUUUGAAAUUAUUUAUAUGUUUCUUUUGAAUAGGAUUAUUAGAAAUAAAGAUUACAUGUGACUCAU
Molecule: long non-coding RNA, 6688 nt
Organism: Peromyscus californicus insignis
Lineage: Eukaryota; Metazoa; Chordata; Mammalia; Rodentia; Cricetidae
Exons: 4
Source: RefSeq, a predicted model, not a curated record